CUCUUGCCUGCUGCCAUGUAAGAUAUGACAGUGCUCCUCCUUCACCUUCUGUCAUGAUUGUGAGUCCUCCACAGCCAUGUGGAACUGAAAGCUGUUUUUCCCUCUUUGGGGUCUCAGAGAGAUUGGUGGCAAGGACUCCUGGGAAGAGAAAAGCUGAAGGACACUCUGGCAAGAGGCCAAGGUGAAAGCCUCGUGGGAAUUUCACACAUUUUAUAGAAGCAGAGGAGUGCUAUUUGAGCAAGGGGUAGAUAACACCUACACUCCACUCAGGAUUUCCAAGCAUAGCCUGAGGCAGAAGUACUCAUACUUCACUACAGAAUCACCUGGGGAGUUUUAACCUUCUGAUUCUAGUGUUCCCCUCCGGCAGAUGGAGACAGAAACAACUUGAGUGGGCUCAGGAAUCUGUGUUUUUAAAAUUCUCCAGAAGAUUUUAAUGCAAUACAAGUAAGAAGACAGGACUACAAUUCACAAGAACAGUAUAUCCUGGGGAUUCCUCAGAACAGAACACACUCAAAAAAAAAAAAAAGAAGACGACAAAAACAAAGAUAACAUGAAACCAGAUUCCACAACCAUGUUUCAAGUGACCUAUGUGAGUCAGGCCCAUGAGACACACACUAUACCAGUUUCAGUGACACCUCACAAAAUUUAGGGGGGUGGAAGAGAGGGUCCUAUGCCCAUUUCAUAGAUGAACAAACUAAGGACUUAAUAGAUUUCAAAAAUUUGUUCAAAGUCUCUACCUUAAAGGAUUUUGGGGUUCUGGUUUUUGUUUUUACCUGCCCUGGUAACUCUUCUAAGAAUGAGCCAAGAAGAAGACAACCUUCUGAGAUACUUUUCCUGCCCUCCAAGGGCUAUGGAGAACGUGAUAGGGUUGGAGCUGCCCUCU
This 883-nucleotide long non-coding RNA is filed under the name Pongo abelii (Sumatran orangutan). Its description in RNAcentral is "lincRNA". Lineage: Eukaryota; Metazoa; Chordata; Mammalia; Primates; Hominidae. The record is from RNAcentral.